RNAcentral lists this ribosomal RNA (463 nucleotides) under uncultured bacterium. Its description in RNAcentral is "partial 16S ribosomal RNA". It matches the Rfam family "Bacterial small subunit ribosomal RNA", at positions 28 to 507 of the family's 1533-position model. The record is from RNAcentral.
GAUGGACGCUGACAGAAUGCUUAACACAUGCAAGUCGAUGGGGAAGUGGUGCUUGCACCAUGGCAACCAUGGCGGACGGGUGAGUAACGCGUAAGGGACUUACCUGCAGGACUGGGAUAACAGGGGGAAACUCCUGACAAGACCGGAUAAUGUCAUGGAGCUGCAUGGCUUUAUGAUGAAAGGAGACGCCUGCGGAGAGCCUUGCGUCCUAUUAGCUAGUUGGUGAGGUAAUGGCUCACCAAGGCGAAGAUAGGUAGCCGGCCUGAGAGGGUGGACGGCCACAAGGGGACUGAGAUACGGCCCUUACUCCUACGGGAGGCAGCAGUGGGGAAUAUUGGACAAUGGGGGCAACCCUGAUCCAGCAAUUCUGUGUGCACGAAGAAGGUUUUCGGAUUGUAAAGUGCUUUCAGCAGGGAAGAAGUAAGUGACGGUACCUGCAGAAGAAGCGACGGCUAAAUACGUG